This 255-nucleotide ribosomal RNA is filed under the name uncultured bacterium. RNAcentral describes it as "partial 16S ribosomal RNA". It matches the Rfam family "Bacterial small subunit ribosomal RNA", at positions 524 to 776 of the family's 1533-position model. The record is from RNAcentral.
UACGUAGGGUGCAAGCGUUAAUCGGAAUUACUGGGCGUAAAGCGUGCGCAGGCGGCUUUGCAAGACAGAUGUGAAAUCCCCGGGCUUAACCUGGGAACUGCAUUUGUGACUGCAUGGCUGGAGUGCGGCAGAGGGGGAUGGAAUUCCGCGUGUAGCAGUGAAAUGCGUAGAUAUGCGGAGGAACACCGAUGGCGGAAGGCAAUCCCCUGGGCCUGCACUGGACGCUCAUGCACGAAAGCGUGGGGAGCAAACAGG